UCAUGGUGAUCGGUGAUUUUUUCUAGUAAAAUUAUAAAAAAAAGUUUUGUUUCUGAAAAAGUUUAAAUUGAAGACACUGCUCUUCGGAACCUUGUCAUCGUAUCGGUGACAUUCUUGGCGAGAUUUCCAACCGGGCAAUGUUUGACUUUGAGCGAAGAUUUCCCUUCAAAAACACGUCGGCGAUUUUAACUGUUCGGAUGUGAUGCCUUCCCUAUGUCCUAUAGCAGAGCAGCUCACAAAAGGCCUUCAGCAGCCGGAUGUUCCAGUUCACAAGGAGUGUUCCAUUACUCAUGCAAUCCACCAGCAUUUUGUGAGCCCAGGGACCAUUUGUCAAAUCAAUUGAUGU
Long non-coding RNA from Aedes aegypti (yellow fever mosquito), 346 nucleotides. RefSeq lists it as uncharacterized. Lineage: Eukaryota; Metazoa; Arthropoda; Insecta; Diptera; Culicidae. The record is from RefSeq and is a predicted model, not a curated record. The transcript has 2 exons.